This 22-nucleotide non-coding RNA is filed under the name Rattus norvegicus (Norway rat). The record is from RNAcentral. Lineage: Eukaryota; Metazoa; Chordata; Mammalia; Rodentia; Muridae.
GUUCAAGUGAUGCUACCUUCGC